Oncorhynchus gorbuscha (pink salmon) is the source of this 2626-nucleotide long non-coding RNA. RefSeq lists it as uncharacterized. The transcript has 3 exons. Lineage: Eukaryota; Metazoa; Chordata; Actinopteri; Salmoniformes; Salmonidae. The record is from RefSeq and is a predicted model, not a curated record.
GUAGCUUCCUAUGGAGAGAUGAAGGAGGAGGAGCUAAAGAGAUGGGGUGGAAGAGGAGGAGCAGAAGGAAGAAGAAGGGAUGACGAGAGAAGGAUAGGAGAAGCUGGUGAAUGAGGAGAAGAUGAAGCGAGAAAGAGAGCAGUGGAUGGAAUAGGAGGUAGGGGUGGAAGAGGAGGAGUUGAAGAAGGAGGUGCCAGGAAGCGUCUGGAUGCCUCUCCCACUCUGGGCUACUUCAGAGUGGGAGAGAGACUCAGUGAAGGCUUCAGAGGAUGAGGAGAGAGUUCUCUUUGUGGACAGAGUGCUGACGGAGAUCAAAGGGCAGGCCGCCCUGGUUGCCAUGGAUGUGACUGGAAGUGUCAUCCGCCAGCAGCUGCUCCCGUUGACUAGCCCUGGCCUGGUGGGGGAGGUGCUGGUCUGGUGGGGGAGGUGCUGCUGCUUCAAGACAAUGUCAUGUGAAAAAUGUGGGGGUCACGUCGUGGAGAGGGCCCUCAGGCAGAUGCCCAGAUGGAGAGCUGAAUCUGAUGGUUACCAAUCUGAAAACAACAUCUAGGCCCUGAAAUGUCUUGUGUUAGGUAACUUCGUUAAGGUCAUAACACUUAUAAUGAAUCUUACUUGUUUAUUUCUCUUAGAAAAGAGCUCAUCGGAGGAGAAGUCAGCCACCACAGAAGGAGAUACAGAGACAGAAGGGGAGGAUUAGGGGAUACUGGAGGCCCAGGUUCUGUCACUGUGUCGUGUGGUGAGGGAGCACUGUGCAGAGUUCAUCAGACAAACACAUGGCUCCCAUGUAGCUCGCACGCUCAUACAUGUACUGGCAGGCUGCCUCGGUCCAGCCCACCCAGGUGUAAAGGACAGGAAUGUCACCACUCAGCUGACAUAUGUCGUUUUGGUGGGAACUGAAAACCCUGUCUACCUCUUUGAUGAACAAUGGCAAGGAUUCUGUCAUCAAGCUACAAUAUAUUGAACUAAGCUCCACAUUGCACUUCAUAGUACAUCUUCAUAGUAGAUAUUCAUAGUACAUACUAUUGGAGACAUUUUCUCACAGUGGCAUUACAUGACCUAUCUCUCCGUCAGUGUGUGUGACCCAUGCUGUGGCUAGUACAGUGCUCCAGCCCAUGUAGACGGUGUGUCACAGAAACCGGCCCAAGCUCUGCAAACCUCUCACCAAAGGCAUUGUGAAGUACCUGACAUCACUCAGCUUUGCUCCUGGAGUUAGGUGAUUAGAGGAAGUCUACAUGCUGGACAAAGACCAUUUCCCUGUUCGUUCAAAGUGUGGCAAGGACUUCACAAGAAAAUAUGAGCUUGUUGCACAUUAAACGAUAUACAUUGAAGACAGACCGUUUCAGUGCUGUAAAUGAGAGAAAACUUUCUGUUGCAUCUAACAUCACACAGGAGAACUUGCCACGGAGAGAAGCCACACAAAUGUACCCUAUGUGAGAAUGUUCAGCUGCCUCAAUAUUCUGAAAAACCACCACAGAGCUGACAUAGGUGAGCAACCUUACCCUUGUGUCCAAUGUGAGAAGAGGUUAAGCUGUUCUGGCGAUCUGUCGAAACACCUCCGUAUCCACACCGAGGAGAAAUACAAGUGUUCCAUAUGCGAAAAGAAUUUCCGACACUCGACCACUCUGAAAGGCCAUCAGAAAACCCACUCCGAGGUCAGACCCUUCUCUUGUGUGCAGUGUAGAAAGACCUUCAGCAUGUUCGAAAGCUCCAAAUGUCAUGAGAAAAUUCAUACUCACCAGAGAUUACAGCUUUGGUCACUGUAGGAUGGGUGUUAAAACUCCUAGUAAUCCGAAAUCACAUCAUUCACGAGGAACCAUUUCACUGUGGUGAGUGUCGCAAGACCUUCACUAGAAAUGACACUUUCAAGAAACACCUCUACUCUGGUGCUGAAGAGUACAAAUGCUCAAAUUGCGUGAAAACACUAAGCUCUGCCAGGAAAUUCAAACUCCAUGUCCGAAAUCACCAGGGGGAAAGAACGAUAUACGAUUGCCCCGACUGUGAGAAGAGUUUCAGUUCAGUAGCGUAUUUAAAGAAGGACCAACAGCUCCACACUGGGAAGAAGCCCUGAAGAGUCCUUCUUCUACCUUGGGCAGCUGGGCCACACCGGAGAAGGGGCACACGUCUGUACCCAGUGUGGGAAGACCUUUGCCCAGCUUAUUCACCUCAGAAGGCAUGAGAAGAUCCACUCUGGGGAGAAGCCCCACCAGUGUGGUGUAUGUGGUAAGGGUUUAGGCAGGAGAGAUCAUCUGAAAAGCCAUCUGCAAACUCAUGUAGAAAAAGAGGGAUCGUUUGUCACAAGAUGUGAUUGAAUACUGUUAAGUUUUUGUUUUUGUCAACCAGUGUUUCCUGAAAAUAUGAUUGAUUUGACUGCACUUUGUAUGGUAACAUUUAUUUUGAAGGAACUAUUUAUUUACAAAGAAAUCUUGACUGAUUCAUGCAUUAUAUUUGUCAAAUCUGCACUUUUUCCAAAAGCCAUGUCAUGCUUAUUUUUGUUUUUCAUUGGGAAUCAAUACAUUUUUUGGUUAAUCAAUUUAACUUCCUCUAUUGUCUCUAGUGAUGUGCUCAGUCCGUACGGACUCAGGAGAGACGAAGGUUGAAAGUCAUGCGUCCUCCGAUACACAACCCA